GCCUGGGUGGCUCAGUGGUUGAGCAUCUGCCUUUGGCUCAGGAUCCCCGGGAUCCUGGGAUCAAGUCCCACAUCGGGCU
Molecule: transfer RNA, 79 nt
Filed under: Canis lupus familiaris (dog)
Lineage: Eukaryota; Metazoa; Chordata; Mammalia; Carnivora; Canidae
Also listed under: 1 other name
Rfam family: tRNA
About the family: Transfer RNA (tRNA) molecules are approximately 80 nucleotides in length.
Source: Rfam by way of RNAcentral